RNAcentral lists this ribosomal RNA (481 nucleotides) under uncultured bacterium. Its description in RNAcentral is "partial 16S ribosomal RNA". It matches the Rfam family "Bacterial small subunit ribosomal RNA", at positions 28 to 507 of the family's 1533-position model. The record is from RNAcentral.
GAUGAACGCUGGCGGCGUGCUUAACACAUGCAAGUCGAACGAAGCAUUUAGAACAGAUUACUUCGGUUUGAAGUUCUUUAUGACUGAGUGGCGGACGGGUGAGUAACGCGUGGGUAACCUGCCUUGUACUGGGGGAUAGCAGCUGGAAACGGCUGGUAAUACCGCAUAAGCGCACAAUGUUUCAUGACAUGGUGUGAAAAACUCCGGUGGUAUAAGAUGGACCCGCGUCUGAUUAGCUAGUUGGUGAGAUAACAGCCCACCAAGGCGACGAUCAGUAGCCGACCUGAGAGGGUGACCGGCCACAUUGGGACUGAGACACGGCCCAGACUCCUACGGGAGGCAGCAGUGGGGAAUAUUGCACAAUGGAGGAAACUCUGAUGCAGCGACGCCGCGUGAGUGAAGAAGUAAUUCGUUAUGUAAAGCUCUAUAAGCAGGGAAGAUAGUGACGGUACCUGACUAAGAAGCACCGGCUAAAUACGUG